AUGAGAAUAAUUGAAGACUUUAGAGCUUGUCAUGAUAUUGCAAGCCUAGCUAAAAUGAUGGUUGAACUUGAAAGGCAUGUUAUGUUUCCUAUUGUUUAUCGCCUCAUUGAAUUGGCAUUGCUACUACCAGUAGCGACAUCAACUGUUGGAAGGGCCUUCUCAUCAAUGAAAAUCAUUGAGACUGAGUUGCGCAGCAAGAUGACCGAUGGUUGGCUUAAUGACUUGAUGGUUUGUUAUAUUGAGCGAGAGAUCUUCAAAAGUAUCGAUCUUGGUAAAAUUAAGCAAGACUUUCAGAAUGAGGGUAGGGCAUUGCCAUUGCCUGGGUCUUCUAGACGCCAUUGA
This 342-nucleotide ribosomal RNA is filed under the name Triticum aestivum (bread wheat). Its description in RNAcentral is "partial small subunit ribosomal RNA". Lineage: Eukaryota; Viridiplantae; Streptophyta; Magnoliopsida; Poales; Poaceae. The record is from RNAcentral.